GCCCUUAGAAGUUUGAUCCUGGCUCAGAACGAACGCUGGCGGCAGGCCUAACACAUGCAAGUCGAGCGCGCCCUUCGGGGUGAGCGGCGGACGGGAGAGGAACACGUAGGUAAUUUGCCCUAGGGCGGGGANCAACCAACCGAAAGGUUGGCUAAUACCCCGUAAGACCACGAUCACUAAUGUGAACGAGGUAAAAGAUUUAUCGCCCUAGGAUAAGCCUGCGCCCCAUUAGCUUGAUGGUAGGGUAACGGCCUACCAUGGCUACGAUGGGUAACUGGUCUGAGAGGAUGAUCAGUCUCACUGGAACUGAGACACGGUCCAGACUCCUACGGGAGGCAGCAGUAGGGAAUAUUGCACAAUGGAGGAAACUCUGAUGCAGCGACGCCGCGUGAGUGAUGACGGUUUUCGGAUUGUAAAGCUCUGUUCUUAGGGAAUAAGAAAGUGAAUGUACCUAAGAAGAAAGCACCGGCUAACUCCGUGCCAGCAGCCGCGGUAAUAAGGGCG
Molecule: ribosomal RNA, 504 nt
Filed under: uncultured bacterium
Lineage: Bacteria
Description: bacterial SSU rRNA
Rfam family: Bacterial small subunit ribosomal RNA
Source: RNAcentral